ACGCGAAGAACCUUACCUGGACUCGAAAUUUUGUUGACAGUCUCAGAGAUGAGAUCUUCCCGCAAGGGACAGCAGAAUAGGUGCUGCAUGGCUGUCGUCAGCUCGUGUCGUGAGAUGUUGGGUUAAGUCCCGCAACGAGCGCAACCCUCAUCCUUAGUUGCUAACCCGCAAGGGAAGCACCCUAAGGGAACCGCCUCGGAUAACGGGGAGGAAGGUGGGGAUGACGUCAAGUCCUCAUGGCCUUUAUGCCCAGGGCUACACACGUGCUACAAUGGCCGGUACAAACCGUCGCUAACCCGCGAGGGGGAGCCAAUCGGAAAAAACCGGUCUCAGUUCGGAUUGCAGGCUGCAACUCGCCUGCAUGAAGCUGGAAUCGCUAGUAAUCACGUAUCAGAACGACGUGGUGAAUACGUUCCCGGGCCUUGUA
RNAcentral lists this ribosomal RNA (427 nucleotides) under uncultured Acidobacterium sp. RNAcentral's name for it is "bacterial SSU rRNA". It matches the Rfam family "Bacterial small subunit ribosomal RNA", at positions 959 to 1385 of the family's 1533-position model. Lineage: Bacteria; Pseudomonadati; Acidobacteriota; Terriglobia; Terriglobales; Acidobacteriaceae. The record is from RNAcentral.